Molecule: ribosomal RNA, 762 nt
Filed under: uncultured bacterium
Lineage: Bacteria
Description: bacterial SSU rRNA
Rfam family: Bacterial small subunit ribosomal RNA
Source: RNAcentral
AACAGGAUUAGAUACCCUGGUAGUCCACGCCGUAAACGAUGUCAACUAGCCGUUGGGAUCCUUGAGAUCUUAGUGGCGCAGCUAACGCAUUAAGUUGACCGUCUGGGGAGUACGGCCGCAAGGUUAGAACUCAAAUGAAUUGACGGGGGCCCGCACAAGCGGUGGAGCAUGUGGUUUAAUUCGAAGCAACGCGAAGAACCUUACCUGGCCUUGACAUGCUGAGAACUUUCCAGAGAUGGAUUGGUGCCUUCGGGAACUCAGACACAGGUGCUGCGUGGCUGUCGUCAGCUCGUGUCGUGAGAUGUUGGGUUAAGUCCCGUAACGAGCGCAACCCUUGUCCUUAGUUACCAGCACGUUAUGGUGGGCACUCUAAGGAGACUGCCGGUGACAAACCGGAGGAAGGCGGGGAUGACGUCAAGUCAUCAUGGCCCUUACGGCCAGGGCUACACACGUGCUACAAUGGUCGGUACAAAGGGUUGCCAAGCCGCGAGGUGGAGCUAAUCCCAUAAAACCGAUCGUAGUCCGGAUCGCAGUCUGCAACUCGACUGCGUGAAGUCGGAAUCGCUAGUAAUCGUGAAUCAGAACGUCACGGUGAAUACGUUCCCGGGCCUUGUACACACCGCCCGUCACACCAUGGGAGUGGGUUGCUCCAGAAGUAGCUAGUCUAACCCUCGGGAGGACGGUUACCACGGAGUGAUUCAUGACUGGGGUGAAGUCGUAACAAGGUAGCCGUAGGGGAACCUGCGGCUGGAUCACCUCCUU